RNAcentral lists this long non-coding RNA (1176 nucleotides) under Numida meleagris (helmeted guineafowl). RNAcentral's name for it is "lncRNA (ENSNMEG00000000623.1)". The record is from RNAcentral. Lineage: Eukaryota; Metazoa; Chordata; Aves; Galliformes; Numididae.
CGGCUCGCCCCGAACGGGCCUUGCACGCUCGCCUCCACGUGUGCAAGGGCACACGGCGCCCAGCAAGCCUUGCACGCUCGCCUCCGAGUGUGCGAGCUCACGCUUUGAACCGGGUGAGCUCGGCGCGCUCGGCUCUAAGCGUGCGAGCUUGCACUGUGCCCCGAAGCCUUGCACGCGCCUCGCACACACGACACCCAGCGAGCCUUGCACGCGCUGGAGCGGUGCACACUCAGCGCAUGAAGCUUGCACGCUCACCUCUCCUCGUGCCACCUCACACUUGGCAUGAUGGCUCGGUGGCUUUGCACGCUCACCAGCAGGUGUGCAAGCUCACGCUGCACCGCCGAGCUUUGCACGCGCAGCCCUGAAGCCUUGCACACUCACCUCCCGCUGUGCAAGUGCACACCAAGACCUAGUGCUUUGCACGCUCACCACCAAUGGUGCAAGCUUGCCCUGAGUCCUCAAGCUGUGCACACUCAGCCCUGCAGGUUUGCACAAGCAGCCCCAGCUCCUUGCACACUCAUCUACCAUUGCACAAACUCACAGUGUUGGAGGUGUUCACACUCCGUGCACAAAACUUGCACACUCACCUCCAGUUGUGCAAGCUCACACCGCACCUGGGGGCUUUGCACGCAAAGACCUAGAACCUUGCACGUUCACCUCUACUUGCACAAACUCCCGCUCUGCACUAAAGCUCGUCGGCUUUGCACGCUCACCAACAGUCGUGCAAGCUCACCCUUUGCCCGGGAGCCUUGCACAUGCACCCCUACAGCCUUACACACUCAUCUCCAGUCGUGCACGCUCACACGGCCUCAGAGCUGCGCACGCUCACUCACCUCCGCUCGUGCAAGCCGACACUUCCCCUCAGAGCCUCGCACCCUCGAGCCUUGCACGCUCACCAGCAGCUGUGCACGCUCCCGCUCAGCCCUGGAGCUUUGCACGCUCAUUGCACGCUCACGGCGCUCCCCUCAGGUCAGCGCACGCGCCUCCUCACACCUGUGCACCCUCAGUGCAAGCCCCGUGCACGCUCACUACCUGCCCGGCACGCUCAGCGCCAGCUGUGCAAGCUCCCUGCAAUCCCUGCACUCACCGUCACCCCGAGAGCCUUGCACGCUCACCGCCAGCCUUGCACGCUCACCGCCAGGUGUGCACGCUCCAUAGCAACCGUGCACGCUCAGC